RNAcentral lists this ribosomal RNA (464 nucleotides) under uncultured bacterium. Its description in RNAcentral is "partial 16S ribosomal RNA". It matches the Rfam family "Bacterial small subunit ribosomal RNA", at positions 28 to 506 of the family's 1533-position model. The record is from RNAcentral.
GACGAACGCUGGCGGCGUGCUUAACACAUGCAAGUCGAACGGAAAGGCCCCUUUGGGGGUACUCGAGUGGCGAACGGGUGAGUAACACGUGAGUAACCUGCCCUUGACUUCGGGAUAACUUCAGGAAACUGGGGCUAAUACCGGAUAGGAAUCCUUGCUGCAUGGUGGGGGUUGGAAAGCUUCGGCGGUUUUGGAUGGACUCGCGGCUUAUCAGCUUGUUGGUGGGGUAGUGGCUUACCAAGGCUUUGACGGGUAGCCGGCCUGAGAGGGCGACCGGCCAACUUGGGACUGAGAAACGGCCCAGCACCCUGGGGGGGGGAGCAGGGGGGAAUUUUGCAAAAUGGGGGGAAGCCGGAUGCAGAAACGCCGGGGGCGGGAUGACGGCCUUCGGGUUGUAAACCGUUUUCAGGAGGGGGGAAGUUUGUGGUGACGGUACCUGCAGAAGAAGCAGCGGCUAACUACGU